AUGAACGCUGGCGGCGUGCCUAACACAUGCAAGUCGAGCGGUCUAGCACUCAACUGAGCGGAGCUUAGUCGAGUGAAUUAAAAAUUAAGAAUUAAGAAUGAAAAAGAACUUAAGAUCUUUCUAAUUAUUAAUUAUUAAUUAAAGACACUCAAUCCAACUUCGUUGAGAUGAGUGCUAGACAGCGGCGGACGGGUGAGUAACGCGUGGGCAACCUGCCCUAUGCAGGGGGGAUAACAUAUCGAAAGGUGUGCUAAAACCGCGUAAAGCUUAAGAAUCGCAUGAUUUUCAAGCCAAAGAUUUAUCGGCAUAGGAUGGGCCCGCGUCUGAUUAGCUAGUUGGUGAGGUAACGGCUCACCAAGGCGACGAUCAGUAGCCG
RNAcentral lists this ribosomal RNA (376 nucleotides) under uncultured bacterium. Its description in RNAcentral is "bacterial SSU rRNA". It matches the Rfam family "Bacterial small subunit ribosomal RNA", at positions 29 to 289 of the family's 1533-position model. The record is from RNAcentral.